This is an RNA transcript of Malus domestica (apple), 1607 nucleotides long. It is a transcript of the gene named general transcription and DNA repair factor IIH subunit TFB2-like, with no coding region annotated. The record is from RefSeq and is a predicted model, not a curated record. Lineage: Eukaryota; Viridiplantae; Streptophyta; Magnoliopsida; Rosales; Rosaceae.
UUUGUAGGAGCGAAACAAAAGAGAAAUUUCGCCCCUACAAACACCAGCACAGCCAAGUGGAAGAUGACUGACAGUCACAUUCACACUACCCCCGUGCUCUUCGGGUUCCCAUUAAAUGACUGAACGUAUAUUUUUCAAGGCUGGAAGAGUUAUACCAUUCCUCACACGUGUCCUGAUUUGGGCUGUCGCCUUUGGGCCGUGUGUGGGCUUCGCCCUGGGUUUUGGAGGCCUGCCCUCGAAAUGGCUCAGGGCCUGUGACUAGGGAUUGCAGAGGUAUAGAGAGAGGGGGAGUUGGGAUGGCGGUCGAGUUCAGGUCUGGCUUGGACGACCCCUGGUACGACGUCCUGAUAGGGGAAGGAUGGCUGUGAUCGACUGAGAGUGAAGUUCGUCGGCUACGGCGACGACCAUGACGAGGUUUAUGAAGUGAGCGAGUUGAGUUCGUUCAACGACAUUGACGAGUUCAGGCGGAGGUUCAGGCAGGUGUCCGCACAAGUUCAGGACACGGAGUGCGUCUCUGCCGCCACUAAUACGGCGCCGUUUUCUCAGCACCACCACCACCAAUGUCUCAAAGAAAUGGGCCGUGAAGGAAGUGACGAAGUCCAAUUUGCCCGGGUCCCUGGAGGAGUUCAAGAACCACCUGUCCACUUCCGACUUCGUGCCCAUCUCGCUUCGACACCGCCGACACGUCGUAUUGCAAGGCUAAAUUCAACUUUGUAUUGUUCCCAAGGGAUGUAUUGAAGAUGAGGAUGCCAACUUAUAGAUUUUCAGUUCAAACAUCACAUUUGACUUCCAUGGCGGAAGAAGGUUUUGAUUUCAAUGCCUGCGUAUAUAAUGGAGCGUGGAUUAGAUUCUGCAGAUUUGAUUUCAUUCCUGGUAGAACUUAAUUUUCAUGUUAAUGGCGAGGCAUAUAACAUAAAUACAUUGAAUGAGAGGCAAAAGAAAAUAGUCAAGGAUCUUGCAGAUUUGGGACUGAUCAAACUUCAGCAGGGAAGGAAAGACAGUUGGUUUAUACCUACUAACUUAGCUACUAAUCUUUUAGUUAGCUUGACAGACUCAUCAUCAAGGAAACAAGUAGGUUAUUUGUACUCAUUCUAGCUUUGUCUCUAAUCGUUUAUUCCACAACUAAUUCCUAAUCUUCAAGACAGCUGAUGUGCAUCCAUACAUGCUACUUACGAGAUUUUUUACUCACUUCUUUGUUCGGGGAUUUGUUGUAGUAGAAACAAACUUCAGGCUCUAUGCCCACUCAACAUCUAAACUACGUUGUGAAAUUUUAUGUCUUUUCCUAGCUGCCCUCCCCUUUUAGGGGCGGAUCAACGGUGGGUCAAAGUUGGUCCAUUGACCACAUGGAUGCCGGAAAGUUGGCUGGGAGGGCACCCAAAUUGUUUCUCGCAUCUUGGUUAAGAUGGGUGGCCGAGGUUUCAAAUAGGUUGUGCACUCUAUGUGUGCAAGCCAAAAUUGUAGUAUGGUUUUCAAGUUGCAUAUUUAUUCAUAUCUCAUUAGUUUCUGGUUUUCUCUUUCAUCCUCUCGACAAAUUUCGAUAUCAAAAUUUGAGAUAUUUUGGAUGUUGAAUGUUAUUCAACGUUGGCCAACGAAGGUUAUUCAGUUAA